CGAUGUGGGAAGGCCCAGACAGCCAGGAUGUUGGCUUAGAAGCAGCCAUCAUUUAAAGAAAGCGUAAUAGCUCACUGGUCGAGUCGGCCUGCGCGGAAGAUGUAACGGGGCUAAACCAUGCACCGAAGCUGCGGCAGCGAACGUAUCACUUAAAGCGAUUCAGCGGGUUACGAUUGACGGAGCGAAGCGACGUCAAAGCGUAUACAAAGUCGAGUCGGUUUAAGGAUACGUUCGUUGGGUAGGGGAGCGUUCUGUAAGCCYGYGAAGGUGRCCUGUGAGGGUUGCUGGAGGUAUCAGAAGUGCGAAUGCUGACAUAAGUAACGAUAAAGCGGGUGAAAAGCCCGCUCGCCGGAAGACCAAGGGUUCCUGUCCAACGUUAAUCGGGGCAGGGUGAGUCGACCCCUAAGGCGAGGCCGAAAGGCGUAGUCGAU
Molecule: ribosomal RNA, 431 nt
Filed under: Salmonella enterica subsp. enterica serovar Infantis
Lineage: Bacteria; Pseudomonadati; Pseudomonadota; Gammaproteobacteria; Enterobacterales; Enterobacteriaceae
Also listed under: 2 other names
Description: partial 23S ribosomal RNA
Rfam family: Bacterial large subunit ribosomal RNA
Source: RNAcentral